UUUCCGUAGGUGAACCUGCGGAAGGAUCAUUAACGAGUUAGGGUCUUCCAGGCCUGACCUCCCAACCCUAUGUUUAUUGAACCUCUGUUGCUUCGGCGGACCCGCCUCACGGCCGCCGGAGGACCGCUGCAAGGCGUCCUCUGGCCAGCGUCCGCCGAUGGCCAACCACUUAAACUCUGAAUGAAUCGUGUCAUAUGUCUAAGUCUAUGAUUAAAUUAAAGCAAAACUUUCAACAACGGAUCUCUUGGUUCUG
RNAcentral lists this unclassified non-coding RNA (253 nucleotides) under plant metagenome. RNAcentral's name for it is "partial contains small subunit ribosomal RNA, internal transcribed spacer 1, and 5.8S ribosomal RNA". The record is from RNAcentral.